CGGAGUAGACAACUGGGAUUGCCCUAGUAACGGCGAGUGAAGCGGCAAUAGCUCAAAUUUGAAAUCUGGCUCCUUUUAGGGGUCCGAGUUGUAAUUUGCAGAGGGUGCUUUGGCGUUGGUAGCGGUCUAAGUUCCUUGGAACAGGACAUCGCAGAGGGUGAGAAUCCCGUUUGUGGUCGCAUGCCUUCGCCGUGUAAAGCCCCUUCGACGAGUCGAGUUGUUUGGGAAUGCAGCUCUAAAUGGGAGGUAAAUUUCUUCUAAAGCUAAAUACUGGCCAGAGACCGAUAGCGCACAAGUAGAGUGAUCGAAAGAUGAAAAGCACUUUGGAAAGAGAGUCAAACAGCACGUGAAAUUGUUGAAAGGGAAGCGCUUGCAGCCAGACUUGCCCGUAGUUGCUCACCUAGGCUUUUGCCUGGGGCAUUCUUCUGCGGGCAGGCCAGCAUCAGUUUGGGCGGUCGGAUAAAGGCCUCUGUCAUGUAACUUCCUUCGGGAAGAACUUAUAGGGGAGGCGAAAUGCGACCAGCCCGGACUGAGGUCCGCGCUUCUGCUAGGAUGCUGGCGUAAUGGCUGUAAGCGGCCCGUCUUGAAACACGGACCAAGGAGUCUAACAUCUAUGCGAGUGUUUGGGUGUCAAGCCCGAGCGCGUAAUGAAAGUGAACGGAGGUGGGAACCCUUUGGGUGCACCAUCGACCGAUCCUGAUGUCUUCGGAUGGAUUUGAGUAAGAGCAUAGCUGUUGGGACCCGAAAGAUGGUGAACUAUGCUUGAAUAGGGUGAAGCCAGAGGAAACUCUGGUGGAGGCUCGCAGCGGUUCUGACGUGCAAAUCGAUCGUCAAAUUUGGGCAU
RNAcentral lists this ribosomal RNA (844 nucleotides) under Stagonospora sp. RNAcentral describes it as "eukaryotic LSU rRNA". It matches the Rfam family "Eukaryotic large subunit ribosomal RNA", at positions 51 to 918 of the family's 3401-position model. The record is from RNAcentral. Lineage: Eukaryota; Fungi; Ascomycota; Dothideomycetes; Pleosporales; Massarinaceae.